UCCUGCGCGCAGCCAUGGUCGUCCUGGAAAACCAUAGGCGCAGAAAACACGACUUGAGUUGUGCGGGAUUACGGGCGAGAUUCUAUGCUCGUCCCUCCAUCCCCGGGUGUUAUACUCGGCAUGCGGUGCGUGGGCUUGCCUGCGUACCGUGCCAUAACAUACCGUGAGUGUGCAGGAUGUGACCCGAAAGAUGGUGAACUAUGCCUGAUCAGGUUGAAGUCAGGGGAAACCCUGAUGGAGGACCGAAGCAGUUCUGACGUGCAAAUCGAUUGUCAGAAUUGGGCAUAGGGGCGAAAGACCAAUCGAACCAUCUAGUAGCUGGUUCCUUCCGAAA
Molecule: ribosomal RNA, 334 nt
Filed under: Uranotaenia macfarlanei
Lineage: Eukaryota; Metazoa; Arthropoda; Insecta; Diptera; Culicidae
Description: eukaryotic LSU rRNA
Rfam family: Eukaryotic large subunit ribosomal RNA
Source: RNAcentral